UUUUUGUGAUAAAUGUGAUGUCAUCAUGCACACCAGAUAUGUCCUUCACAAUAGACGUGCCAUGACUGCCGGAUUCUUCCAGCCAUUGCCUCCAACAACUUACAUUGUAAAUAAGACCCUUUGCCAUGAUGCACGACUUGUACCUGUGGAGAGCCCAGUCAGAAUCUGCGGCUGUCCACCAGAGUGUUUGAGGGUCAGACCAGGAAAGGUUGUUGCUGUGGUCACAAUGAAUGGACGUUACGAUCUCAGCAUGCCAGAGCUGAGGUGUGAGACAUGUGAAGCUUCUUGGACUGCUGGAGUAGAUGACCUAAAUCAAAGUGAUUACUGGCCCGCUACCCUUCACUUUUCUACUUUGUACGCAACAGAUGUCUUCUUUACAUUUGAAGAAAUGAAGAUGGCAUCACCCGGACUCUCCUGCAAAGCAUUUUUAAAAAUGCUUGAUCAACGAACUCUCCAUUUU
Molecule: long non-coding RNA, 460 nt
Organism: Oreochromis aureus
Lineage: Eukaryota; Metazoa; Chordata; Actinopteri; Cichliformes; Cichlidae
Exons: 3
Source: RefSeq, a predicted model, not a curated record